This 573-nucleotide unclassified non-coding RNA is filed under the name Hevea brasiliensis (rubber tree). Lineage: Eukaryota; Viridiplantae; Streptophyta; Magnoliopsida; Malpighiales; Euphorbiaceae. The record is from RNAcentral.
GUGCACGAUAAGCCCACUCAGCUGCUCUGCUCAAGACUCAAAAUGAAUAGCCUCUUUCUUUAUUUUUGUUGGUAAGUACUGGCAAUACAAAAUCGAUAGGGUUUAAGGGUUUUAGGGAGAAAGGGAAACAAAUGGAGAAGAAUAUGGCAAGUGAAGCGAAGAAGAUGAAUGGAGCAGGAGGAGGAGGGUUUAGGGCCAAAUUGGAGCAUGUAUUAUAUAGCGGUGAGAAGAAGCACGUAUUCGGUGGCAUCGCCGUCAUUGGCGUCCUCUUCGGUGUUCCCUGGUACUUCAUGACCCGAGGCUCGAAGCAACAAUCUCACCAAGAUUACCUGGAGAAAGCUGAUAAGGCGCGGAAUGCGAGGCUCUCGGCUGGUUCAUCCUCAACUAAAUAAUGAGAAGAGUUACUUCAAACAAGUUUCCAGUUCCAGUUCCUUCAGCGUUUUGUGUUAGGUGCAUGCUGUUCCUGAAGCACUUGCAUAAAUGCCUCUUUUUGGACAAAACUUCUGUAAUAUGAACAUUAUAUAUUGCAUACAAAACCAAACACGAAAAAGGAAACAUAGUUUUGUGUUUUAU